RNAcentral lists this ribosomal RNA (541 nucleotides) under uncultured bacterium. Its description in RNAcentral is "bacterial SSU rRNA". It matches the Rfam family "Bacterial small subunit ribosomal RNA", at positions 777 to 1318 of the family's 1533-position model. The record is from RNAcentral.
AAUAGAUACCCGGGUAGUCCACGCCGUAAACGUUGGAUACUAGGUGUGGCGGUUAUACCAAUGACUGCCGUGCCGAAGCUAACGCAUUAAGUAUCCCGCCUGGGGAGUACGGCCGCAAGGCUAAAACUCAAAGGAAUUGACGGGUCCCCGCACAAGCGGCGGAGCAUGCGGCUUAAUUCGAUGCAACCCGAAGAACCUUACCUGGGUUUGACAUCACGAGAAAAGCUGUAGAAAUACAGUGUCCAUUAGGGCCCGUGACAGGUGGUGCAUGGCUGUCGUCAGCUCGUGUCGUGAGAUGUUGGGUUAAGUCCCGCAACGAGCGCAACCCUUGUCCUAUGUUGCCAGCGGUUCGGCCGGGGACUCAUAGGAGACUGCCGGGGAUAACUCGGAGGAAGGUGAGGACGACGUCAAGUCAUCAUGCCCCUUAUAUCCAGGGCUGCACGCAUGCUACAAUGGCCGGUACAACGGGCAGCGACCCCGCGAGGGUGAGCGAAUCCUAAAAAGCCGGUCCUAGUUCGGAUUGAAGUCUGCAACUCAACUU